AUCCAGAUGUGAUCUGUGGCUUGAGCCAGCUUUAAAUGAAUCGUAGUUUUACCGGUAUAGCCUUUUUGUGCGG
Molecule: transfer RNA, 73 nt
Filed under: Acinetobacter baumannii BJAB07104
Lineage: Bacteria; Pseudomonadati; Pseudomonadota; Gammaproteobacteria; Moraxellales; Moraxellaceae
Description: tRNA-Asn
Source: RNAcentral